UGUACUUUAUGAAUAAGGAUCGGCUAACUCCGUGCCAGCAGCCGCGGUAAUACGGAGGAUCCGAGCGUUAUCCGGAUUUAUUGGGUUUAAAGGGAGCGUAGAUGGAUGUUUAAGUCAGUUGUGAAAGUUUGCGGCUCAACCGUAAAAUUGCAGUUGAUACUGGAUGUCUUGAGUGCAGUUGAGGCAGGCGGAAUUCGUGGUGUAGCGGUGAGAUGCUUAGAUAUCACGAAGAACUCCGAUUGCGAAGGCAGCCUGCUAAGCUGCAACUGACAUUGAGGCUCGAAAGUGUGGGUAUCAAACAGGAUUAGAUACCCUGGUAGUCCACACGGUAAACGAUGAAUACUCGCUGUUUGCGAUAUACGGCAAGCGGCCAAGCGAAAGCGUUAAGUAUUCCACCUGGGGA
RNAcentral lists this ribosomal RNA (403 nucleotides) under uncultured bacterium. RNAcentral's name for it is "bacterial SSU rRNA". It matches the Rfam family "Bacterial small subunit ribosomal RNA", at positions 474 to 879 of the family's 1533-position model. The record is from RNAcentral.